AAUGCUGGGCGAAGGCUCCGAGCCACGAGACCCCCGCCUCCUGUCCCGGGACCCACCCAGGCGGAGGCAAGGGCAGGGGCGCUGGGGGCCCAGAGAGAGGGCGCCGCGAUGGAUGAAUGAGCUGUUUCCAGCAUUCCUGCUUCAACUCAAAAUUUUCCUUCAUGGCACAGUGGAAAGCUUUGAAGACGGCGGUUCUGGGGCUGAAUAUGAAGGCAACUCGGACUAAGAAGACGACUGCUUUCCAACUGCCCUCCCGUCCUGCAGCCGCCUGAUUUGAGGAAGGGGCUGGGAUCCUUCCCCUUGCCCUCUGGUUGUUCUUGGAGUUACAGCAGCCCCGCGGCAGCUCUGCCCCCUAGUGCACAUGUGAGGCAGCGCGCCCUUCUCCAAUCCAGAAGCCUCGUCGCGGUGCUGCCAGCAAGGGAGUUUUUCUGUAUUCACUUUGGUGGAAAUAGCAAAACUUGACAGAAAAAAAACCCAAGCCAAACCAAAA
RNAcentral lists this long non-coding RNA (490 nucleotides) under Homo sapiens (human). RNAcentral's name for it is "non-protein coding LINC01220:12". Lineage: Eukaryota; Metazoa; Chordata; Mammalia; Primates; Hominidae. The record is from RNAcentral.